UACGAAGGGGGCUAGCGUUGCUCGGAAUCACUGGGCGUAAAGCGCACGUAGGCGGAUCUUUAAGUCAGGGGUGAAAUCCCGAGGCUCAACCUCGGAACUGCCCUUGAUACUGGGGAUCUCGAGUCCGGAAGAGGUUGGUGGAACUCCGAGUGUAGAGGUGAAAUUCGUAGAUAUUCGGAAGAACACCAGCGGCGAAGGCGGCCAACUGGUCCGGCACUGACGCUGAGGUGCGAAAGCGUGGGGAGCAAACAGG
This 253-nucleotide ribosomal RNA is filed under the name uncultured bacterium. RNAcentral's name for it is "partial 16S ribosomal RNA". It matches the Rfam family "Bacterial small subunit ribosomal RNA", at positions 524 to 776 of the family's 1533-position model. The record is from RNAcentral.